AUACAGAGGUCUCAAGCGUUGUUCGGAAUUACUGGGCGUAAAGGGUGCGUAGGCUGCGCAGAAAGUCAGGUGUGAAAUCCGGGAGCUCAACUUCCGAAUGGCACCCGAUACUCCUGUGCUAGAGGACUGGAGAGGAGCUCGGAAUUCUCGGUGUAGCAGUGAAAUGCGUAGAGAUCGAGAGGAACACUAGUGGCGAAGGCUGGGCUCUGGACAGUAUCUGACGCUGAGGCACGAAGGUCAGGGGAGCAAACGG
RNAcentral lists this ribosomal RNA (253 nucleotides) under uncultured prokaryote. RNAcentral describes it as "partial 16S ribosomal RNA". It matches the Rfam family "Bacterial small subunit ribosomal RNA", at positions 523 to 775 of the family's 1533-position model. The record is from RNAcentral.